CGUGCGUGCGCGCGCGCGCACGCAUGCAUGCGUGUGCGAGUGAGUGUUUUGCAAUAGAAUGAUAAUAAUAUUCGUAGACUCGGUCGAACUCGUUAGCACUUGAAGUUACCAUCCAAUUGGUAAUCCAAUACGUUGACCGAGCGACGCAGGAAAACGAAAAGCAGACGAAAGCAAAACUCAAUCACGAAAGCCAUCGUGAUCGAGCACGAUAAGAUAUAUGCGAUGAUUCACGUGUAAAGACACGAUCUGCGCAAGCCAAAAUUCAUGCUAUUACGUUAGACUUGUAUUAUUAUGCAUUAGAGAACAGGAAAUAGAACUACUCUCUCGGCAUUAUUCCCAACGCAUUUCGUACAAAAUAGUCGUAACGAUCGAUUUUGGUAUACAUCGUUAGAACGUAAGUAUUUUAUCGAUAUCAUUCGACGUUUUUAUCAUACAACGUACCUUAUUAUAAUAACUCUUAUUAAAGAGUUGGUUUAACCUCAUACGAUUUAUUUCUUAUCUUUCACUCGUCUUGUUAAAGAAAAAUUAUUGAGAUAACUUUCACUGUAUCAAGAAAUGAAUAUUCUCGGAUAUGUUCACUCUAUUAAAUCGUUAUAUUUGAUAAAAAAUGAAACGUGCGUGAACGAUAGAAUCGAAUAGAGAUUGUAAUUAUCUAUUAACGAUAGAUCUUUCGUAUAAAUAAAUUCCGAUCAUCUAAUAAUAUCGAUUCGUAUGUUCGACCGAUCGAUAUGACAAUCACGUAAGAAGCAAAAAUCGAAGGAGUCACGCGUCAAUGGACCGAACCGGCAAUCAUCCAUGCGAACAUAAACGAGCAAAGAGUAAAAGGAAACACGUUAAUACCCUCGAAUAUUAUACUUGAACUAAUGCUAAACGGUUUCAACAAGGACAAGGAUCGAUUUGAUGUAACGGUCACGUUUUCUCGGACAUCGUGGCAAAUCGUUUAGUAAAAGAUUGGAUCGAAUCACGGAAGGUUAAGAUUCUUCCAUUAUAUUUCCUUGUGUUUCGGAAAGAAAUAGAGAUGGAAUUACGUAAAGAAAAUAUUUGCAGAUAAAAUGGUAAAGCUUGUAUCGACAACCUAUACGUUUUCAAGCAGACCCCACAGAAAGAUAAAUUUGCAGAAACUUACCAAUCAGGAAAGAGUACGUGUGCUUCGGCAAGGAUGUCUCGUAGAAGUGUGGUCGCAGGUGGGACGUGAGGUAAAAUAACAGGAGCGAAUACACCGCACACGCCAGCGCUUCGUCCGUGUCUUGCUUCGUAUCUGCUUAAAUAAAUCGCCAAGUAACCAAGUAAGCGAUAAUGAGAGGACGGGAGGGUUGAUAGGAGUUCCUUCGUCGAUUUAAUCCAGGAUUCGUGAUUAUUUGAGUAAUCAUCUGUAAAAGCAGAGAUAAAAGCGUACGGAUAAAAAGAUCCAAUUAGAGGGAAGUCUUAGAAGAAUCAUUUAAAACGUUCGAAGAAGUAACGACGAUACUAACUGUUGUGAAGGUUCAACAAGCUUGCGACCAAAGUGGACGGUACAACGGGUUGCGGCAAUUCUUUCAGGUACUGUCGAAGAAGGGUGGCCGCUGUGGAUGGACAAGCUGCAGAUUCCAAAUCGGCGUCGCCUCUUCUCUCGAAGGUAGUCCUCAAUCUUUCAGCGAGUCUUGGACUACCGCCCGAUAGACGAAAUACCGCAGCACUUUGGAAACCGUGAGCCUCGAUAUAGCUGCAGAGCCGAUGGACCACGUAGGGUACACCCGUUUCCUGAUAAGACUCUAUCAAGUCGAGCCGAGCACCGAACACUCUCGUGGACCCUCUGCCUCGGCCAAGGAACGAUCCUGCGAGGACUCGCUUCACUCUGGCGAGGCGGGACUCGUCCUGAGAGACGACCAGCUUGGUUAAAUUCUCGUCCGACGUAGUGUACGGUCAACGAUCGACGAUGGAUGCGCAACGUCACUAUUCGCAUAUGACAUUUCAAAGUUCCUACAUUCAAAAAUCCAUCGGAUCAGUGCAUCUCGAACUUGCUAUCCAUCAUCUCGACUAUACCCCAAAAGUUUCAACAGGGGUUCGGGUUUAUGCCCGAGUAAUGAAACGCUAAUGAGUAAGAAAAAAAAAUUUACGCGACCUCGACACGCUUCGCAUUCCUAUCUUCUCUCUGUUUUUUUCUUUUCUUUUUCUCUUUUCUGUCUUUUUUCCACUAUAGCUUCCUCCUCACGAUCGAAUAAUUAACAAAUAAUAAGGAAUAAUGAGGAAUAAAGAGAGAGAAAGAGUAAAAGAGACGUUUCACCUUGUCGUGAGACUGUCGCGAACGCGUUGGACUUGCCGAUCCAUAAUGAGAUUGGUGAUGCUGAUGCUGAUUGUGGUGAUGAUGGUGGUGGUGGUGGUGGUGAUGAUGGUGGUGAUGUUGUUGUUCUUGCUGAGGACGUCUCAUCCCACUUCUACACCGCGACCCACUGCCGCACUAGUAGAAUCAAAAGAAUGUAUUUCAAUAGGUAUUAUUUUCAAUAAACGUACACAAAGAUUAAA
This is a long non-coding RNA of Vespula pensylvanica (western yellowjacket), 2502 nucleotides long. RefSeq lists it as uncharacterized. Lineage: Eukaryota; Metazoa; Arthropoda; Insecta; Hymenoptera; Vespidae. The transcript has 2 exons. The record is from RefSeq and is a predicted model, not a curated record.